AAAUCAAUUGAUGCAGAGAAAGCAUUUGACAAAAUACAGCACCCUUUCAUGUUCAAAACACUAGAAAAACUAGGGAUAGUAGGAACAUACCUCAAAGUUGUAAAAGCAAUCUAUGCUAAACCUAAGGCCAACAUCAUCAUAAAUGGAGAAAAUUUGGAAGCAUUAUCUCUAAAAACUGGAACAAGACAAGCAUGCCCUCUUUUACCACUUCUAUUCAACAUAGUCAUUGAAGAUCAAGCCAGAGCAAUUAGACAGAUGAAAGAAGUUAAAGGGAUACAAAUAGGAAGAGAAGAACUCAAACUAUCAUUAUUUGCUGAUGACAUGAUUCUAUAGUUGGAGGAUCUAAAAAAUUCUACCAAAAAACUUUUAGAAUUAAUAAAUGAAUUCAACAAAGUAGCAGGAUAUAAAAUCAAUACCCAUAAAUCAAAUGAAUUUCUAUACAUCAGUGGUGAAUCCUCUGAAAGAGAAAUUAGGAAAACCACCCCAUUCACAAUAGCCUCAAAAAAAAAAUAAAUAAAACACUUGGGAAUCAACAAAAGAUGUGAAAAGAUCUCUACAACAAAAACUACAGAACACUAAAGAAAGAAAUUGAAGAAGACCUUACAAGAUGGAAAGAUCUCCCAUACUCUUGGAUAGGCAAAAUUAAUAUUGUCAAAAUGGCCAUACUACCCAAAAUGUUAUACAGAUCAAUGCAAAGCCAAUUAAAAUCCCAGCAUCUUUCCUUAUAGAAAUAGAAAAAGCAAUCAUUAAAUUCAUUCGGAAAGAAAAAUAAGAGGCCCAGAAUAGCGAAAGCAAUCCUUAGCAAGAAGAGUGAAGCAGGAGGCAUCACAAAACCAGACCUCAAACUAUACUACAAAGCUACGGUAACAAAAAUGGCAUGAUAUUGGCACCAAAACAGACACAUAGAACUGGGUGAGGUGGCACCUGCUUAUAAUCCUAGCUACUUAGGAGGCUGAGGCAGGAAGAUAACAAGCUCCAAGCCAUCCCAGGUAACUUAGUGAGACUGUCUCAAAAUAAAAUAAAAACUGGGGGUGUAGCUUGGACAUAAUGUGUCUCAGGUUCAAUCCCCAGUAUAGAAACAACAAAGGAAGAUAGGAGAGCAUGCACAUAUGUGCUCUCGUGCACGCGCCCCCCCCCCCCAAACAAUCAGAAAUAACUAUUUUUCUUUAAAAACUGAACAAAAU
This 1184-nucleotide long non-coding RNA is filed under the name Marmota monax (woodchuck). The record is from RNAcentral. Lineage: Eukaryota; Metazoa; Chordata; Mammalia; Rodentia; Sciuridae.